This 495-nucleotide ribosomal RNA is filed under the name uncultured bacterium. Its description in RNAcentral is "partial 16S ribosomal RNA". It matches the Rfam family "Bacterial small subunit ribosomal RNA", at positions 28 to 507 of the family's 1533-position model. The record is from RNAcentral.
GACGAACGCUGGCGGCGUGCCUAAUACAUGCAAGUAGAACGCUGAAGGAGGAGCUUGCUUCUCCGGAUGAGUUGCGAACGGGUGAGUAACGCGUAGGUAACCUGCCUGGUAGCGGGGGAUAACUAUUGGAAACGAUAGCUAAUACCGCAUAACAGUAGAUGUUGCAUGACAUUUGCUUAAAAGGUGCAAUUGCAUCACUACCAGAUGGACCUGCGUUGUAUUAGCUAGUUGGUGAGGUAACGGCUCACCAAGGCGACGAUACAUAGCCGACCUGAGAGGGUGAUCGGCCACACUGGGACUGAGACACGGCCCAGACUCCUACGGGAGGCAGCAGUGGGGAAUCUUCGGCAAUGGACGGAAGUCUGACCGAGCAACGCCGCGUGAGUGAAGAAGGUUUUCGGAUCGUAAAGCUCUGUUGUAAGAGAAGAACGAGUGUGAGAGUGGAAAGUUCACACUGUGACGGUAUCUUACCAGAAAGGGACGGCUAACUACGUG